ACAAGGAUCUUUAAUCACAGGUAAUAAUGGUUUUGAUCAUUCACAUAAAAAUGGUCUUCAUAUCCUAGGUUAUAAGAUUGUGAGAUCCCUCCAGGUUAAAAGGUUCUCAAUGCACCAGGUAACAAUAUUCUCAGAUCAAGCCGGUAACAAUGGGUCUUUAUCCCCACAAGUUAUAUAGCCUCAGAUCAGCCAGGUAACAAUGGUCCCAAGGUUACCAUGUUCUUAGUUCAGUUAAGUAACAAUGGUCUCUGCCCCCACAAGUUCCAGCGUUCUCAGAUCAGUAAGAUGACAAUGGUCUUAUCCUCCUAGCCUACAAUGUUUUUAAAUCAGUCAGAAAACAGUGGUCUUGAUCUGCUCUAGAUUACAAAGUUUUCAAAUCAUGUAACAGUGGUCUUGAUACCCCAAGGUCACAAUGUUCUCAGAUUGGCCAAUUGUUAACCCACAAGGUUACAAUGAUCGGAUCGGAUCUGAUCAGAUAGGUAGCAAUAGUCUUUGUCCCCUAAGUUACAAGAGUGUCAGUUCAAACAGGUAACAGUGGUCUUGAUAACCUAAGGUUACAAUGUUUUCAGAUCACCCAAGUAACAAUGGUCUUUAAUUCCUACAAGUCACCAUCUUCUCAGAUCAGUCAGAUAACAAUUAUUUUGAUUCUCUUUGGUUAAAAUGUUCUCAGAACAGUAAGGGAACAAUGGUAUCUAACCCCCGUGGUUUUAAUGUUCUAGAUCAGUCAGGAAAAAAUGGUCUUGCUCUCCCCAGGUUACAAUGUUCUUGGGUCAACCAAGUAACAAAGGUCCCUACAAGUUACGAUGUCCUCAAACCAAUCAGGUAACAAUUGUCUUGAUUCUCCCAGGUGACAAUAUUCUCAGAAUAUCCAGGUAAUAAUGAUAUCUAUCCCCAAAGAUUAUAAUGUUUGCAGAUCAGUCAAGUAACAAUGGUGUUAUUCUCACAGGUCAUAAUGUUCUAAGACCAUCUAAGCAACACUGGUCAAGGUCUCCCAAGGUUAUAUUGUUCUCAGAUCACACAGGUAACAAUAGUCUUUAUCCCCCAAGGAUAUGGUGUUUUCAGAGAAGUCACCUAACAAUGGUUUUGGUUCUCUCAGGUUCCCUAUUCUCAGAUCAGCCAGGUAAGAACAGUCUUUAUUCUGAGGUUACAAUGCUCUCAGAUACAUUGGGUGGCAAUGGUCUUUAUCCUCACAAGUUCAUGUGGUCAGAACGGCCACAUAACAAUUAUCUUGAUCUCCAUGUUAUAAUGUUCUUAGAUUACACAUAUAAAAAUGGUCUUUAGUGCCCCUAAGAUUGAAAUUUUUGUAGAUCAGUCAGGUAACAGUGGUCUUGAUUUUCCCAGGUUACAAUGUUCUCACAUUAGUCAGGUAACAAUUGACUAUACCCCCACUUAACUAUAUUUCCAGAUCAGCCAGGUGACAAGGGCCUUUAUCCCCCCCAGCUUACAAUGUUUGCCGAUCAGUCAGGUAACACUGGGCUUGAUGAUACUCCAAGGUCACAAUAGAUGCAGAUCAUCCAAGUUACAUAGUCUUAGUUUAUCCCCAUAAGGAACAUCAGCCUCAAAUCAGUCAGGCAACAUGGUUUUCAUCAGCUAACAUAACAACAUUCUCAAAUCAUUCAAGUAAUAAUGGUCUUCAUCUCACAAGUUACAGUAUUCUGGGAUCAGAACAGUAGCAAUGGUCCUUAUCCCCCAAGGUCACAAUGAUUUCAGAUCAGUCAGGGAACAAUGGUCUUGAUUCCUUUCUGGUUACAAUGCUUUCAAGUCAGCUAAUAAUGUUCUUAGCUCUCUCCAUGUUACAAUGUUUUCAUCUCAGGUAAGAAUGGCUUUGUUGCCCUAAGGAUACAGUGUUUCAGGUCAGGCACAUAACAAUGGUCUUGAACCUCUCCGUCUUACAGUGCUUUCAAAUCGGCUAACAAUAGUCUUGUUCCCACAUGGUUACUGGGUGCUCAGAACAGCCAGUAAACAAUGUUUUUUACCCCAACAGUUACAAUAUCCUCAGAUCAGGGAACAAUGGCCUUUAUCCCCAUACUUUAGAAUGUUAUUAGAUCAGGUCAAGUAACAAUGGUCUUGAUUCUCCCAGGUUACAAUGUUCUCAAAGAAGAACAAGUUGUUCUCCAUUGUUACACUGUUCUCAGAUCAGUCAGAUAACAAUGGUUAGAAUUCCCCCAAAUUACAACUAUAAUCCUGGUAACCAGUAACUUUAUCCUCCAAGCUACAGUGUUUUCAGAUCAGCCAAAUAACAAUGCUCUUUGUCUCUCUGGGUUACAGCAUUUUAAAGUCAGACAGAUAAUAACGGUCUUAAUCCCCAGAAGUCACCAUGCUCUCAGAUCAGUAAGGUAACAAUCAUGGUCUUCAUACAUACUCUUCACAUUAUAGUGCUUUCAAACUGGGUAACAAUCCUCUUGUUCCUCAAUGGUUACAAUAUUUCCAAAUAAAUCAAGUAGCAAUGGUCUUAGAAGCACCCCCAUAACCAUUUACAAUGUUCUUAGAUCAUUUAUGUAUCAGUGAUCUUUAUCCCCACUAUUUAUUGUUCUCAGAUCAGUCACAUAACAAUAGACUUACUUCUCUCAAUUUACAAUGUUCUCAGAUCUGUCGGGACACAACGGUUUCAUUUCCCAAAUUUAAAUGUUCUUAGAUUAGUAAAGUAACAAUACUCUUUGUCCUCCAAGUUUAUAGUGUUCUCAAAUCUGUCAGUUAAUAACUGUCAGGAUUCUCCCAGGUUACAGUGUUCUCCAAACAGCCAGGUAACAAUCGUCUUGAUCUCCACAAGUUAUAGUGUCAUCAGAUUAGUCAGGUAACGAUGGCCUUUCUCCUCACACUUUACAAUGUUCAGAUCCAUCAGGUGGCUGUGGUCUUGAUUCUCCCAGAGUCCAACGUUCUCUGAGAACCCUGGUAACAAGUGACGUUAUCCUCCAAGCUACUACAGUGUUCUCAGAUGAGCCAUAUUACCAUAUUCCAACUUACCAUAUUUUCACAUCAGCUGGGUAAUAAUAAUCUUUUACUCCCAUGUUAAAAUGUUUUCAUAUCAGUCAAGAAACAAUGCUGUUGAUUCUCCCAAGGUUACAAUGUUCUCAGACCAGACACACAACAUAGUCUUUAUCCCCCAAAGAAACGAAGUUCUCAGAGUAGUCAGGUAACAAUGAUCUUGAUUCUCCUAAGUAACAAUGUUCUCAGAUAAGCAAGUAACAAUGGUGUUGAUUCUCACAGGUUCUAAUGUUCUAAGAUCAUCCAAGCAACACUGGUCAGGCUCUCCCAAGGUUACAUUGUUCUCAGAUCACACAGACGGAACCCAGCACAACUGUCUCCUCUGUGAUGCUUCACUCAGCAGCCGAUGGAAAGACACGCAGAGACUCACACCCAAAUAUUAGAUAGAACUCAGGGAGUCCUAUGGAAGUGUUGGGAAAAGAACUGGGGAGUACCCCAAAGUCUGAAUCACCAUCCAAGAGCAGGCAUGGGUUGGACCUAGGCCCCACGCACAUGGCCAGCUUGAUCUUCAUGCUUACGCCCGGAUCUCGGUGCCACGUCGGUGUGGGCAUCAACAUCCUCCCACAGCCUAACAGUAACAUUGAUCUCACCCAGUCCUUCUCCCCAGGUACCUGCUACUCCCACCACCUCUCCCCAGGUAACAAGGUUCUCCACUCCACCAGAUGACCAGUGGUUCUCAGCUCCUCCAAUUCACAGUUGGAUUGGUUCCUCCAGGUAACAGGUGGCAGUGCUCACAGCAGCUCCAGGGGGUCAGUGGUUCUCAGCACCCCAGGUAACGAUUUCCCAGCUCAGCCAGGUAACCAAUGCUCUCACUCUCCCAGGUACUAAUGUUAUCAACACUCAGAUACCAAAUCUCAGCCUCCCAGGGGAUCAAUGUUCUCACAGCUCCACAAGGUCCUAGUGAUGUCCUGCCCUGAGGUGUGUGUCCUCACCUGCUAUGCCCCAGUGUUCUCACCUCCCUGAGGCAGCAGUGACUCUCGAAAUUAGAACUGUGUCAUGUCCUCCAGGUAGCAGGUAUGUGAGCUCACCCAAAGCAACAGUGUUUUUCACUCUUCUGGACAGCAGUGGUUCCCAGGACACUGGGUAAGUUUUCCCAGUUCACCCCCAGCCAAUGGUAAUCUCAGCUCACCAGAUACUAGUGACUCUGGUUUCUUCCUGAGACAAUGGUAUGCUUGCCGGCUUCUUAAUCCAUUUCUCAGCUUGCCCUAGUAACAGCAGUCUGUGAUCACUGGGUAACUGCCAACUUAGUUCACAGGUUACAGUGGUGCCAGCCCCUCCCAAGGGUCAGGGUGGAAUGGGAUGCAGGCAGGAGCCACUUUGGCGGAAUUCAGGGAUGGCGCCUUGACUCUUUGCCCUGCGAAGUGUCACUCCCUCUCUCGGAUUCUACAACUCGGCAUUGAAAAGGUCGAGUGCCUUCUGAAGUGUCUAUGUUCUCCACAGUGUUGUGGCCUGAUGGCAGUCCCGCUCUGCCCUUACCCCUUACCCACAUCAAGCCCACUCCCCCAGUGACGUGGGUUCUUUCUUACCUGAUUCACCAAGGAAUUUGAAACUGCUUGAGACCUCCCUUUUCUGUUAGUGUAAAAACAGGUGGCCACUCGCGAUGCUGCACCUUAGACACCAUGGCUUCACCUGUGAACAGGCACCACCGUGAGAGACAUCAGCUUCCCCAACUGCAAUCAAAUGUUCCCCCCAGGGUAGUUGGUUAGUUCCAUGGUUCAAGGCUUCCGGGCACCUGUCUGUCAUGCCCUGGCUUUCCCAGGGCACCUGUUCUAGGCUUCUACCAAAACUCCACAAGCUCUUCUUGAUGGAGCUGGCCAUGAUGCCCCCCCACCCAAACCUCGUGCCACUCAAGCCUGGAUUCCCAAACAGAGGCAGCUGUUGGAAAACAUUAUGAUUCCAGCUCUGGGAAGGCCAAAUUCUGCUCAGCUGGGAGUUCUGGACCUAUCCAGGAUGGGGGGAGGGGUUACCACUGCGGGAUGGGGGUAGCCUCCCUCCAAGUUGGGCAGCAGUACUGCUGUGUUGUAAAACAUAUUUAAUCUCAAUUAGGAUUUCUGCCCUGCCUUUGAUCAUUUAGUUCCCAGAUAAAAGGCACACACGACCUUUAAUUUAUAAUAAGCCUUAAGCACCACUGGCGCUGGGCAGAUAUCUGUCCUCUAUGGUGUUAUGUCUUGGCCUGCCAAUAAUCCCACUAUAUGAUUUGCUGUGUUCUGCCCAGGCUGCUUUUAACGCCAAUUAGCCAACCCAUAUAAGCCAUUAUUUUAUGAUUCUUACCUCAUAAUGACUUCUCCUCUUUCUCCUCAUGGUCUCCUCAGAUCCCAAGCCUGAGUACCCCAGACUCCACCACGUCUCUUCUGCCCAUCUAUUAGCUGUUGGCAUCUUUAUUUAACCAAUAGUUUUAAGUCCAGGAGUAAGGUCACAUUGUACAAGUAGAUUCUUUCCUUCCCAAGAGCAACCAGGCCUUGGGAUCCAGUACUUAACCAUCAUAAUACAUGUUAAAAGAUCACUGUGCAGACCUCCCCAGCAUGCUCAUGAGUAUAGAGGGCAUGUCCAGUUAGAGAGGCAUUUGCCAGACACACCUAGGUUCUUCACUUGGAGGCUGCUCAACCCCAAACCCCAAGAAUAGAUGAAGGAAACUACCCAAUGGUUCUCUAGGCAGAACCUCGAGUUCUUGGCAGACCCUAGCCAACAGAGUCCCAUGAUUCAACUGGGCUGUUCACUUCACAGACCGCUACAAAUGGGUCAUUUCCUCAGCUCAGGUCUUUCCAAGAGCAGGGCCAUAGUCAAGUUCUCCACCGGCCAAGCAUAAUGGGGGCAUGAAGUACAAUGAAAAGUCCCAAGCAUCUGCUGGGUGCUCUCGGAGAAGCUGGCCUGCAGGUACCUGUUGGGAGUUGCCAACAUUCCGAUGACAUUGAGAGACAAGGACAGGGAUACGAGUUCCCAAAGAGUCAAAGACCUAAGCCCUCAGAGCCACACAAGCCACAAGGAUGCAGCAGAGGCAAGGCAGGAGGGGAUGAAGAGAGACCAAUAUGGGCUGGUUGGUCUGGAGUCCCCGGAAGAGCCAACUCAAAGGCCACUGGCCAAAUGCAUGGGAAGCAACCUGGAGAGGGGAGGCAAGCUUGGAGACUAGCUAACUGAAGCAGCUGCCGUCACCUCAGGCAGGGCCAAGCCCUGCGCUGCCGUAUCAGAGUGCCACUGACAGAAUAAUUUGCAACGAACAGAGAAACACUGUGACUCACUGUCCUGGAGGCUGCAGAGGCCAGCAGCAGCAACACAUUUCUGCUACGGUUGCUACCCUACUCUCUAUGGGGGAGGGUGGUGUGUCCUGAGGGUAGAGUGGGGGGAGGCAGAGGAUCAAAGCAAACAAAAGACAAGACUGAAAGAAAAAGAGGCCAACCCAUUCUCACAGUCACAGACCUACUUCCACGGAGCAGUAUUAAUUUACCUCACCGUCCCGGACCGCCGGCCUCUCAUCAGUCCCUCUUCUUAAAGAUGAGGUUCCCAACACACUCUUUGGUGAUACACCCGGACCAUAUAACACACGGGAUGCAAGCGUGCUUGCCUUGUGUCCCAGGAAAACGAUGAGCUCGAUACUAUUGGCUUAUAGAAGCAAAACACACCCUGAGGUGGAGGAUAGAGAGAGCACCAACUCCAAGGGGGGGCCUUCACUGUGUGCACUCUUGCUGACAGAGAUCUUAGCCUGUGACCUUACCUGACCUGGCCCCAGGGACAGCACUGGGAUCCCCAACACUGUAUUCCCUUCUCACAAAUUGUCCUUCAAAAUCAGAGGGGGCUUCAGCACUUGAAACACUGCUUGCUACAAGCUUCCCGGAGUCUGAGACCAAACUCAUCUCCUCACUUCCAGCACCUUCUGAGCUGACUGAGGCAAGUGUGGAUCCAACCCCUAGAGUCCUUCCUUGGAUACGUAAUUGGGUGACUGUCACUCAACAUGAACGAGGCUAAGAUGCUCAGCUGGGGGACCAGGGCACCAUGCUAGGAGCUGGGGCUGACCAGGCUGAGCAGACAGACCCUGGAAGCUUUGACACACUUAGUUACUUGCAGAACAAUAGCCCAGGCUAGGCCUGCAGGAGGUAGAGACACAGGGCUGCAUGCAGACAAAAAGCCCAGGCUUAAACCACUGUCACGCGUCCCUCUAUCAGUCCAGGCUGUGUGACUGUUUUCAGAUGUGCGUAGGGAAACGGUGUCGUACUUCCCUAUGCCUGUGCCACGCCAUGUUCUGGCAACAAAGGCCCAAGUCUCUGAGUUCGGUGCGUGGCGGCCCUCUAAUGUUGUAAAACACAUCGCUCGGUGGAGUCAUUAGCGGGGCAUCUCAUCACAGGCGAGCAGUUGAGAUCCACCGAUAAUCUAAAUUCCUGGCACAGCUACCCGACGAACAAGAACAACUUGAGUCCUCUGAAAAUGUCAAGUGCUCUUGUUAGCUCUACAGAAGUGUCGCUUUUCAAAUAGCAGCCAGCGGCUGGGGCCCUUCGAGGACGAGGACGCACUUCACUCCUGGGAGAGGGGGCUAUGCCAGCGAGAUCCCUCACAGCAAGGUGCCUUGCAGGCUUCUUUCUGGGCUGCCUCUUCCAGUGGGGGAGGGCUGGAGGGGCUCUCUGGGAGCACUCAUUUUGGUAACAAAAGAAAUAGUCAGUGAGCUUCUAAUGUAGUGGGUGGGAAUUCCUAACGGACACUCUCAAGAUGUUGACAUGACUUGUAGUGGACAGGAACUACCUCCGCUGCCCCAGCAAAGUGAGGGGGGUGAGACAGGAAGACAGUGAAUCAAAAUCACCCCAACCACCAACUGUUCCAGUCCUGAGGGAAUGGCUCUCCAGUCCUGAGAGCAUGAGAACUAUGUAACAUGUCCACUGCAUGUGACCCCUGGACCUCUUAAGUCAGGUGACCUGAAGUGUGCCCAGAAAGGUGGGACCAGUUCUAACCAGGUGCCCCCCAUCCCCAGUCACAAGUCUCCACAUGGCUUAUUCCUCUGCAGUCUGACUUGGAAGUUGGUAGAUAAUCUGGGCUGGGAGCUGGAUUCUGGAACCCCCGAGGGAUGGUACGAGACAUGGGACCCCCGUUGAAAGACCAGUUCUCUCCUUCAGCUAUGGACCCGUCAACAGUUGUGAAAAGGAACGUCAAUGUCAAUAGGACUCUGCUUAUAUGGAAUCACUCAUAUAAGUCACUUAGAAA
Non-coding RNA from Rattus norvegicus (Norway rat), 8169 nucleotides. The record is from RefSeq and is a predicted model, not a curated record. NCBI's taxonomy places the organism in Eukaryota, Metazoa, Chordata, Mammalia, Rodentia, Muridae.